AUACGUAGGUGACAAGCGUUAUCCGGAUUUACUGGGCGUAAAGGGCGUGUAGGCGGUCUUGCAAGUCAGAAGUGAAAUUCCUGAGCUCAACUCGGGCGCUGCUUCUGAAACUGCAGGACUUGAGUGCUGGAGGGGAUAGCGGAAUUCCUAGUGGAGCGGUAAAAUGCGCAGAUAUUAGGAAGAACACCGGUGGCGAAGGCGGCUAUCUGGACAGUAACUGACGCUGAGGCGCGAAAGCGUGGGGAGCAAACAGGAUUAGAUACCCUGGUAGUCCACGCAGUAAACGAUGAUAACUAACCGCUGGUGCGCAAGUAUCAGUGGCCAAGCGAAAGCGAUAAGUUAUCCACCUGGGGAGUACGACCGCAAGGUUGAAACUCAAAGGAAUUGACGGGG
RNAcentral lists this ribosomal RNA (393 nucleotides) under uncultured bacterium. Its description in RNAcentral is "partial 16S ribosomal RNA". It matches the Rfam family "Bacterial small subunit ribosomal RNA", at positions 523 to 918 of the family's 1533-position model. The record is from RNAcentral.